Danio rerio (zebrafish) is the source of this 274-nucleotide non-coding RNA. NCBI's taxonomy places the organism in Eukaryota, Metazoa, Chordata, Actinopteri, Cypriniformes, Danionidae. The record is from RefSeq and is a predicted model, not a curated record.
AACUCAGCUCUCACAAAACUGAACGCUGAAAUUUCACAGUUGAAACAAACCAAGGUUAUGGUGUUUAAAACACUGGGUCAGUUUGUGGUUCUUGGUUGUCCUUGGAUUCUGGGGUUCUUCACUAAUAGCAGUGAGGUGCUGGAGAUCGUCUUCCUGAUCUUGAACUCUCAGCAGGGAACCUUCAUCUUCCUGAUCUACUGUCUGCUCAAUAAUGAGAUCAGGCAGCAGUACUGGAAGUGCUUCUUGUCUCUCUGCUCCGGAUUCAAACAACACU